GGGGCCAGCUAACUUCAAAACCGCUUGAGACCUGCGUGCCAGGUCUGCUGGGUUCGAUUCCCAGGUGGUCCCGCCA
RNAcentral lists this transfer RNA (76 nucleotides) under Bacillota bacterium. RNAcentral describes it as "tRNA-OTHER". Lineage: Bacteria; Bacillati; Bacillota. The record is from RNAcentral.